CACUAAGAAGCUUACAAACAAGCAACAGCCUUUUAAGCUGUAGAUCGGUGAUUUGGCCCACCCUUAGUGA
RNAcentral lists this transfer RNA (70 nucleotides) under Salamandrella tridactyla (Schrenck's Siberian newt). RNAcentral describes it as "tRNA-Lys". It matches the Rfam family "tRNA". From Rfam's summary of the family: Transfer RNA (tRNA) molecules are approximately 80 nucleotides in length. Their secondary structure includes four short double-helical elements and three loops (D, anti-codon, and T loops). Lineage: Eukaryota; Metazoa; Chordata; Amphibia; Caudata; Hynobiidae. The record is from RNAcentral.